Molecule: non-coding RNA, 28 nt
Filed under: Bombyx mori (domestic silkworm)
Lineage: Eukaryota; Metazoa; Arthropoda; Insecta; Lepidoptera; Bombycidae
Source: RNAcentral
AUGCAAUUGAAAGUUAUACAGAAUGCGU